Biomphalaria pfeifferi is the source of this 388-nucleotide non-coding RNA. Lineage: Eukaryota; Metazoa; Mollusca; Gastropoda; Planorbidae. The record is from the annotation of a GenBank genome assembly.
AUUUUUUUUGUAGAAUACACUUUAUUGACAACCCUUAAACAUGAACAAACAGAAAAUCCUAACAUUAAAAAAAUGGUUUUGUACGUUGUUUGUCAAAAUUAUUUCCAAAUGCAAUAGCUUUAUCACAAAAAACAAAACUUUUUAAAAACAGAAUAGUCUACUUAACAAAUAACUAAAAAAAGCCUAAAAAAUGAAACAUAUUUUCCCAAACUAAUAACACCCCUCCGACUUGGAAAAUACAAACUUACAGCUUGAAGAGGGACAUUAACCAAAAAAAAAAAAAUUGCUAAAAAUGUAAUUAAAACAUCAAUGACUGAACUAAAAUGAUUUAUAGCAACUGUCAACCUGUGAAGUACUAAGUAAUGUCAAAACAAAGUUACGUUCUUUG